GGGGUAAGACAGAGGGGCGGAAGGAGAUCCUUUCUGGUCUCAUUACGCCUUUUAAAGGUCCCCGAUUUGUUUUGUUUUCGCUGUUUUGAAAAGUCCGCCCAAAGUAGCCGGCUCUCUGAUUGGAUGCGGGUGGGGCGAGGGGAAUGCUGAGGACCUGAUUCACCCUCGAAUCUGGAUUGGCUAACUUAUCAGUCUUGGAGCCCUCUGAUUGGCUUUCUCCGUAGCCUGAGCCUCUCUCUGCCUUGGGGCCUUAGCAACUCCAGGGUCUGGAUUGCGCAUGCCUGGGUGGGCAGCGGGGAAGGUAUUUAGUUACCUGCCCUGCGGGGCUGUGCCUUAUCGCCUGGCUGCCUCCGCCCUUCUCGGGGGAAUGUCACCCUCGCGGCGCUUCUCCUAAGAGCUAACCUUUGUGACAGCCUUUUCAGCCACGGGAGAGUUUUCUACAUUCCUUGUUUAUUUUGUCUUGCCGUUCCAUUUUGCAAUAACCCACCAAAUUAUUAUAACAUUGUCGGGGCGUUUACUAAAAUAUUCAAUAAAUGCUACAAAUUUAGGUAUUUGUUUUAAAAUUUUCCAAUCCAAGAGAAAAAAAAAUGGAGAAGAGAGGUGAAACAAGAUAGGCAAAAAGUCGAGGGUCGAAGCUGGGCGACGGGUACUCGAGGCUUCAUUACAGUAUUCUUUCUACUUCUGUGUGUCUUGGAAUUUUUCCAUAAUUUAAAAAAAUUCGGGAGGGACUGAAGGAGAGGCUUUUUAAUAAAAACUUAGCACGCUGAUGAGGGUACGUAAAUAUCUAAUAAUUACGGCGUACCUCCAGAGGUUGUAGUGCUGUUGUUUCAGUGAAGACUCCCGGAGCUUCUUGGUCCUUGGUAACCCAUAAAUUAUCAUUUAUUGUUCAUUAUAAUUAGCGUUGUUAUUAUAGGCGACACCUCUCCUAGGACGGGACAAAAAGCAAACCAACCAGGUGCCUUAGGCCAGAGACACUUUCACACGGAAUAUCAAUGGGGGAUGUGGUUGACUCCCCUGGAACAUUUAUUUGUUUACUCUCUCCCUCCUAAAUUAGAAAAUACCAUAUUCGUGGGUUCUAAACUACAUAAUCAGAUAGCCCCUGGGAACAGAUUUCUCUUUCCUGUUCUUCUGUAUGUUUUCUGUGAAUUAUUUUGUUACUUGUGAAAUAUGGGAAGGCACACAACAUAGCUUUGGCAGCGCUCUUCUUUGCAGAACAGCUAAGGAAUUUUAAAAGUAGGUCCCUUUGCAUAUUAGCUCGGACUAAACACAGGCAUCUGUUUGGAGCACAGAGCAACUGGGGGAAGGGAACCCAAAAAGCUAACACUUAUUUCAGAGAGGUGUGAGCUUGGUGAGCGUUUUGGAAAAUAAGAUAAAAUUAGCACACUAGUUUUAAAUGAUUUACAGGCUACAUAAUUUCAUCCAAUGCUUGUUUUAUCUUUUAAAUAUUAAGUGAUAACUUUUAUUUGACAUAAUCAUCUUGCUGGAAAUCUAUGCUGAUAAACAUAAUAGGAACUUGAAACUAACUUGGAGACUAGAGCUAAGAUUAAAAUUACAGAGAUGACAGCUCAUUGUACAGCGCAUCAAAAGGCUGAGUGAACAGGGCCCACAAACAGAAAGCAGCUCGACCAUCACCAUCAAGCAGCUUGACUAUCCACCAUCAGAGAAAUGAGAGUUUGUGAUCAAAGCAUGAAGGAGACUGGGGAUGUUUUUUUCAAGUAAGAAGGCAAAGACAGCCUCUUGAAUGAUGUGAACAGUGAUGGCUUUCUCCGAGAGUAAGACAAGAAAGCUUUGUAAAUGGCGUUGAAUUUCCUGCUCUUGGCAGGCCCUGCUCAGCACAGAAGAAAAGACUAUCAGGUUGUCCAAGAUGGAGCCCUUUAUCCACGGUAGUCCACUUGUCUCUUUAAGAUUAAAGGAAAGCAGUCAUUAAAAAUACAGAUCCAGUAGUUAUUAAUACAGCAUCCUCUUUUUUAAACACCUCAUUUUAAGGAUGAUGAUAUUCUUGGGAAAUGGGCUGGGGGAUUAUGUAGGUUUUCUCUGUUUACUUUGCAGAAAUUUUUGUUUGUUAAUAUAUCUUUCAAAAAAAAAUCUCUUCAUUGUAUUUGUCCUUAUCACAUUGGCUUACCUUGCUGGAGCUGAAAGUGUUAUUUACGAAAAAGACAUUAUUCCCCUUAGGCUAAUCAGGCUUUACACAUUAGCCUUUCCCGAGCUUUCUGGAAGGCAAAUUUCCUGUAUCAUGCACACAUACAAAAUAAGGAAAUCAGAAACCUGGCAACCCCCAAGAACUUCCAGACAAUUUAAGAUACUUGGUUUUCUACAGCACGUGGUAGGGGGUGCAGUGGGGUUGGGUGAUACUGUCACCAAUAACCCCAUGAAGGCCUGAUCCUUAGUGACAUGUGAGACUGAAACUAAAAGGUGCUCACAGAAUGGGUAAUAAGCAGGGAGUGCCCACACAGAAACAAUGACUACAUUCAGUGAAUCCCUGACUCCUGACAAGUGUCCUGCAAACCUGCUCACACUUAAGCUUCUACCUUGAAAAUAGGGCACUCUCAUGGGACAGUUGCAGUGCUUCCCUAAAUGACAGACUUCCCUGAACUUCAUACGGCAUCAAAAUUGCUACAACUUUCCAAAUAUCAUCUUUCUCCUCAAAGAUAUAGUUUUUGACAAUAAAUCCUAGCUUUUUAUUCAAUCAAAAGUUAGUGAAUACACACUGAGUGCCAGGCAUGCUACUAGGCACCAGGGAUACAAAAAUACAUAAAUAAAACAAGGCCCCAGAAUAUACCCUGGUAUGUCUGAGGUGUAGGGCAAAAGCACUGGCCAUAGAUCAAACUGGCUUUGUGUCUCAGCUUUCCUACUCAUUAGAGAUGGUGCCUUGAAUACCUUGAAUAAUUCCCAUGGUCUUGAGCCUCAGCUUUCUAACCUGAGGAAAACAAAAAGCCAGAGGUAGUUGUGUCUGCUUCAUAUGUGAUGACUGAAUACAAACAUUUGUGAAAGCAACUAGCUAUAUAUUUCUAGGCUGCAGCAUGUUGUGACUUCAUGAAGGGAAAGGAAGGGAUCAUCCCUAACCUCAUCAAAGAAGUCUGGUGGAAAGCAGCCCUGAAAGGGAAGAACCUGAGGAUAAGGAUGUGUAAAACUGACAUGAGGCCAUACUCCCCCUCCCCGUCUACUCAUUAUUGCUGGGUCUCUGCCUGAGCUGUUUUCUGUCAUUAGGCUGAGCACAGUGGUUCACACCUGGAAUCCCAGCACUUUGGGAGGCUGAGGUGGGAGGAUCACUUGAGCCCAGGAGUUCAAGACCAGCCUGGGCAACAUAGUGAGACUUAAUCUCUACAGAAAAUUUUAAAAAUUAUCUGGGUGUGGUGGCAUGCACCUGUAGUCCCAGCUACAUGUGAGCCUGAGGCAAGAAGAUUGCUUGAGCCUGAGAGGUCUAUGCUACAGUGAGCCAUGAUCAUGUCACUGCACUCUGGCCUGGGCAACAGAGCAAAACUCUGUCUCAGAAAAAAAAAAAAGUGGUUUGCAGCCCCAAACUUCCUGCUUAGAUAAGCACUCCUUCACAGAACCUGCAAUGGAGACAGGAAUACCUCUCCGAGGAAGAGGAACAGGGAUGGUAUAGCAUAGUAGCACAGGGUGCCACUUGAAGUGAUGCAGAUUUUUCAACCAAGAGCUCAUUUUUAAAUCAGAACCUGGAAGAAUGAGAUGAUUUAUAUAGCAGAUGAUUAAUCCUUUUCUUCAAGCAAUCAGCAGAAUAAGUCAGUGAGGCAUCUCAUAUAUUCUUCUUUCUGGGUUUCCCACAAACAAGAUCACCUCAAAUUUGAAAUCAACGUUUUACAAUCCAUGUACUAUAUAUUUUGUUGCUUUUGUUGUUAAUGCUAGAAGCAUGCCCUGUUUUUUUGGAAGUGUGUUUAUGCAAGGGUUGGCCAUAUUCAUAAACAUUCAUAGUGUUUAUCUAUGUAGGGUUGGCUUUGGAAUUGUGGAAAUUAUCCACACUGUAGACACCAUCUGAAUGACUACAGCAAGAGGACCAGUUUUUCCAGCCAGCCAGUUUAGUCCCUCCCAGUUCUACUAGCCUGCAAGAGAGUUAGCCUUGUAGGAACUAUCUCUGCAACCUGAGAACUUGAGAACUAAAUGCUCGGUUGAUUCUGAAGCCUGAUUCAGUACUUUGUUAUCCAGUGCUCUCUCUUUUACACGAAGAAUCAACUGAAAUAAACGAAGUAGCUUUGACAUGAUGUGAAAAGGCUGGCAAAGGAGAGUGAACUGAGAAUUCGGCAAUGCCUGAAAUCAGAACUAAUCAUCUCAAAAUCAUCUUAAAAUAUAUUUUAAGUGGCUCAGGCUACAUUCUGGAAAAUUGUACAUGAUUCUUUAUGUAACACAUUUUCGUUUCAUGGUUUGUUUCAAGAACCAUGACCUAACUCGGAUUUCCUGUCUUUUCUUGACAUCACAGUGCUAUAUGAAGUUGACACUGUCAGCAAAGAGUAACUUAGGAUACAUCUGUUGAAUAUAUCAUCUUAUGUCCAAAAGAAGUUUUACUGUCUGUGAGAGUCAUGAUCUCUUUUUUUUAUCUCAAAUAAAAAGGCAAUUGAUGUUUAAAGUGA
Symphalangus syndactylus (siamang) is the source of this 4586-nucleotide long non-coding RNA. RefSeq lists it as uncharacterized. Lineage: Eukaryota; Metazoa; Chordata; Mammalia; Primates; Hylobatidae. The record is from RefSeq and is a predicted model, not a curated record.